GAUGAACGCUGGCGGCGUGCCUAAUACAUGCAAGUCGAGCGAACAGACGAGGAGCUUGCUCCUCUGACGUUAGCGGCGGACGGGUGAGUAACACGUGGAUAACCUACCUAUAAGACUGGGAUAACUUCGGGAAACCGGAGCUAAUACCGGAUAAUAUAUUGAACCGCAUGGUUCAAUAGUGAAAGACGGUUUUGCUGUCACUUAUAGAUGGAUCCGCGCCGCAUUAGAUAGUUGGUAAGGUAACGGCUUACCAAGGCAACGAUGCGUAUCCGACAUGAGAGGGUGAUAGGCCACACUGGAACGGAGACACGGUCCAUACUCCUACGGGAGGCAGCAGUAGGGAAUCUGCCGCAAUGGGCGAAAGCCUGACGGAGCAACGCCGCGUGAGUGAUGAAGGUCUUCGGAUCGUAAAACUCUGUUAUUAGGGAAGAACAAAUGUGUAAGUAACUAUGCACGUCUUGACGGUACCUAAUCAGAAAGCCACGGCUAACUACGUG
RNAcentral lists this ribosomal RNA (497 nucleotides) under uncultured bacterium. Its description in RNAcentral is "partial 16S ribosomal RNA". It matches the Rfam family "Bacterial small subunit ribosomal RNA", at positions 28 to 507 of the family's 1533-position model. The record is from RNAcentral.